GGGCCCAUAGUAAAGUGGUAUUACGCGGCAUUCGCAUUGCCGAGGCUGGAGUUCGAUUCUCCAUGGGUCCACAA
This 74-nucleotide transfer RNA is filed under the name Candidatus Giovannonibacteria bacterium RIFCSPHIGHO2_02_FULL_44_31. RNAcentral's name for it is "tRNA-Ala". It matches the Rfam family "tRNA". From Rfam's summary of the family: Transfer RNA (tRNA) molecules are approximately 80 nucleotides in length. Their secondary structure includes four short double-helical elements and three loops (D, anti-codon, and T loops). Lineage: Bacteria; Candidatus Giovannoniibacteriota. The record is from RNAcentral. RNAcentral also lists the same sequence under 3 other names.